This 440-nucleotide ribosomal RNA is filed under the name uncultured bacterium. RNAcentral's name for it is "partial 16S ribosomal RNA". It matches the Rfam family "Bacterial small subunit ribosomal RNA", at positions 338 to 795 of the family's 1533-position model. The record is from RNAcentral.
CCUACGGGUGGCAGCAGUGGGGAAUAUUGCACAAUGGGGGGAACCCUGAUGCAGCGACGCCGCGUGAGUGAAGAAGUAUUUCGGUAUGUAAAGCUCUAUCAGCAGGGAAGAAAAUGACGGUACCUGACUAAGAAGCCCCGGCUAACUACGUGCCAGCAGCCGCGGUAAUACGUAGGGGGCAAGCGUUAUCCGGAUUUACUGGGUGUAAAGGGAGCGUAGACGGUUAUGCAAGUCUGAAGUGAAAGCCCAAGGCUCAACCAUGGGACUGCUUUGGAAACUGUAAAACUGGAGUGCAGGAGAGGUAAGCGGAAUUCCUAGUGUAGCGGUGAAAUGCGUAGAUAUUAGGAGGAACUCCGAUUGCGAAGGCAGCCUACUAAACUGCCACUGACAUUGAUGCUCGAAAGUGUGGGUAUCAAACAGGAUUAGAUACCCCGGUAGUC